UAAUUUUUUUUCCUCUAUCUUUUUUUUUUAAUCAAUCAUAUAUAUAUAAUUUUUAUUAUUUUUUUCCUGAAACGAUUUGAAUCUUUUUAUUAAAAAAAUAACGAAAAAAUGACAAAAUCAACGAAUUUUU
RNAcentral lists this non-coding RNA (130 nucleotides) under Pessonella sp. PRA-29. Lineage: Eukaryota; Discosea; Flabellinia; Vannellidae. The record is from RNAcentral.